This 816-nucleotide ribosomal RNA is filed under the name Triticum aestivum (bread wheat). Its description in RNAcentral is "partial small subunit ribosomal RNA". Lineage: Eukaryota; Viridiplantae; Streptophyta; Magnoliopsida; Poales; Poaceae. The record is from RNAcentral.
AUGGCGCCGCCGCGUGUGCGGGAGCUGGGGGAGAUGUGCGAGCUCAUGGAGGAGAUCCUGAUCCGCAUCCCGCCGGACGAGCCUGCGGACCUCAUCCGCGCCUCCCUCGUCUGCAAGGCUUGGUGCGGCCUCGUCUCCGGCCACGCCUUCCGCAGCCACUACCGCACCUUCCACAAAACACCUCCCAUGCCUGGCUUCCUACAGAGCUGGGAGAAGGAAGGUCAAAGCUUCGUCCCCACCACAAGAUUCCGUCCCCGCAAUUGCAAGCCGCAGGACAGUUCCGUGCUCGAUUGCCGCCAUGGCCGCGUUCUUCUUAUGUGUUACUACGAUGGGUAUGCGGAUGCGGAUGAGGAUGAGGAGGAGGAAGAUGAUGACGAUGGAGAGGAGGAAGAUUAUUACGACGAAGAUGAUUACGAGGAAUAUGAAGAGAUGGUAGUCUGGGACCCCUUGUCUGGGAGACGAAUGAAGUUGCGCAAUCCUGGCAUCUUCAACCCCCGCAUCAAUCAUGUCUGGAAAGACUAUUCGGCCACGGUGCUCUGUGCGGCGGAUGGCUGCAACCACGAUGCCUGCAACUUGGCCCCAUUUUUGGUGGCGUUUGUCGUCCUUGCAACAUGGAUGACCUUGGCAACAUGGAUGACCGAAAGAAGGAGCUCAGAUUCUCUAGGGUUUGUUGGCUGUGUGGAGGGCACCGAUAUCCUUGUUGUGGCCACAAAUAUUGGUGCAUUCACAAUUGAGCUCAAGUCCUUGAGGUGGAGGAAAUUGUCGACGGUGGCAGGUGUUAUGGAGGUGGCCAAAGAAAGCCAGAUCAGGCAGUGA